RNAcentral lists this non-coding RNA (26 nucleotides) under Homo sapiens (human). The record is from RNAcentral. Lineage: Eukaryota; Metazoa; Chordata; Mammalia; Primates; Hominidae.
CCCCUUCUACCAAGCUCCCUCGUGGC